CAAGACCAAGAUCACACAGCCUACCAGUGUCAGAGCUGGGAUUUCGGCCAGUAUUACACCGAAGCCAGCACUCUUGUUCUACCAAGGAGUGGCAGUGGCUCUGGUUACCUAUGCCGCAAAGCACCAGAAAAGUUGGUGACAUCUCACUGAUGUUCCACUGGUGGGGCCUCAAGGAAAGAGCAAUGCCGCAUGAGCCUGCUUCAUGUUUUUAUGUGAAAAGAUAGAAGCUGAAGGAUGUCAGAGACACCCACCCCCACUGUGCUUGUAUCCCGGAGGGAGAUGAGGCAUUCAACAGUC
This is a long non-coding RNA of Chinchilla lanigera (long-tailed chinchilla), 297 nucleotides long. RefSeq lists it as uncharacterized. NCBI's taxonomy places the organism in Eukaryota, Metazoa, Chordata, Mammalia, Rodentia, Chinchillidae. The record is from RefSeq and is a predicted model, not a curated record. The transcript is spliced from 3 exons.